GCCGAGGUGGUGGAAAUGGUAGACACGCACGUUUGAGGGGCGUGUGGGUUCGCCCGUACGAGUUCAAUCUCGUCCUCGGCACCA
Molecule: transfer RNA, 84 nt
Filed under: Synergistaceae bacterium
Lineage: Bacteria; Thermotogati; Synergistota; Synergistia; Synergistales; Synergistaceae
Description: tRNA-Leu
Source: RNAcentral